CCUACGGGCGGCAGCAGUGAGGAAUAUUGGUCAAUGGGCGCGAGCCUGAACCAGCCAAGUAGCGUGAAGGAUGACGGCUCUACGGGUUGUAAACUGCUUUUAUAAAGGAAUAAAGUGAGACACGUGUGUCUUUUUGUAAGUACUUUAUGAAUAAGGAUCGGCUAACUCCGUGCCAGCAGCCGCGGUAAUACGGAGGAUACGAGCGUUAUCCGGAUUUAUUGGGUUUAAAGGGAGCGUAGAUGGGUGGUUAAGUCAGUUGUGAAAGUUUGCGGCUCAACCGUAAAAUUGCAAUUGAUACUGGCAGCCUUGAAUACAGUUGCGGUAGGCGGAAUUCGUGGUGUAGCGGUGAAAUGCUUAGAUAUCACGAAGAACUCCGAUUGCGAAGGCAGCUUACUAAGCUGCCACUGACAUUGAGGCUCGAAAGUGUGGGUAUCAAACAGGAUUAGAUACCCCUGUAGUC
RNAcentral lists this ribosomal RNA (460 nucleotides) under uncultured bacterium. RNAcentral's name for it is "partial 16S ribosomal RNA". It matches the Rfam family "Bacterial small subunit ribosomal RNA", at positions 338 to 795 of the family's 1533-position model. The record is from RNAcentral.